This 406-nucleotide ribosomal RNA is filed under the name uncultured bacterium. Its description in RNAcentral is "partial 16S ribosomal RNA". It matches the Rfam family "Bacterial small subunit ribosomal RNA", at positions 28 to 526 of the family's 1533-position model. The record is from RNAcentral.
GAUGAACGCUGGCGGCGUGCCUAAUACAUGCAAGUCGAACGAGUGGCGGACGGGUGAGUAAAGUAUGGGAAACUGCCCGAUGGAGGGGGCUAACUACUGGAAACGGUAGCUACUACCGCAUACCAUCGGAUGUGCCCAGAUUGGAUUAGCUAGUGGGUGGGGUAACGGCUCACCUAGGCGACGAUCCCUAGCAGGUCUGAGAGGAUGACCGGCCACACGGGAACUGAGACACGGUCCAGACUCCUACGGGAGGCAGCAGUGGGGAAUAUUGCACAAUGGGCGAAAGCCUGAUGCAGCCAUGCCGCGUGUAGGAAGAAGGCUUUCGGGUUGUAAAGUACUUUUAGCGGGGAGGCGUUACCCGCAGAAGAAGCACCGGCUAACUCCGUGCCAGCAGCCGCGGUAAUAC